This 104-nucleotide small nuclear RNA is filed under the name Castor canadensis (American beaver). Lineage: Eukaryota; Metazoa; Chordata; Mammalia; Rodentia; Castoridae. The record is from RNAcentral.
GUGCUCGCUUCGGCAGCACAUAUACUAAAAUUGGAACAGUUUAGAGAUUAGCAUGGCCCCUGCACAAGGAUGACACGCAAAUUCUUGAAGCUUAAAAAAUAUUU